GACAGAGGGGGCAAGCGUUGCUCGGAAUCACUGGGCGUAAAGGGCGCGUAGGCGGGACGGCAAGUCGGUCGUGAAAUCCUUCGGCUCAACCGAAGAACGUCGGCCGAUACUGCCGUUCUUGAGGGAUGCAGAGGAGAUUGGAAUUCCCGGUGUAGCGGUGAAAUGUGUAGAGAUCGGGAGGAACACCCGUGGCGAAGGCGGGUCUCUGGGACGGUACUGACGCUGAGACGCGAAAGCGUGGGGAGCGAACAGG
RNAcentral lists this ribosomal RNA (253 nucleotides) under uncultured bacterium. RNAcentral's name for it is "partial 16S ribosomal RNA". It matches the Rfam family "Bacterial small subunit ribosomal RNA", at positions 524 to 776 of the family's 1533-position model. The record is from RNAcentral.